Oncorhynchus keta (chum salmon) is the source of this 1839-nucleotide long non-coding RNA. RefSeq lists it as uncharacterized. The record is from RefSeq and is a predicted model, not a curated record. Lineage: Eukaryota; Metazoa; Chordata; Actinopteri; Salmoniformes; Salmonidae. The transcript has 2 exons.
CAGAUGUGAGUGGGUGAACUGGUUUUACUGACACAUUGUGUGUCAUUCCAUGUCUGAAAUGUUCUGUAGGAAUAAAUCUUUAUUUUAUUUUAUUGUGUUAUACUUCUACUGCAGUACUAUCACUCCCUAUUGUAUUGUGCUAGUACUUCAGCACUUUCAGUCCAUAUUGUAUUUUACUAGCACUUCAGUACUAUCAGUCCCUAUUGUAUUUUACUAGCACUUCAGUACUAUCAGUCCAUAUUGUAUUUUACUAGUACUUCAGUACUAUCAGUCCAUAUUGUAUUUUACUAGCACUUCAGUACUAUCAGUCCCUAUUGUAUUUUACUAGCACUUCAGUACUAUCAGUCCCUAUUGUAUUAUGCUAGUACUUCAGCACUAUCAGUCCAUAUUGUAUUUUACUAGUACUUCAGUACUAUCAGUCCCUAUUGUAUUAUACUAGUACUUCAGAACUAUAAGGGUGGUACUGAGAGUGCUCUGUGUGUGAAGGUGCUCACUCUUGUGUGAAGGAGGUUUUAUUCACCAGAAUUAAUCACUGUGUUGGACUUUUGAAAGCGGUGCAAAAUUGGUCCUGAAAACUGGUCCCUCUGGUAGGUCCAGUGUCUCUGUUCCCUCCGUCCUCUGAGCAGCUCUCUUGGGGCUCGGCCACACUGGACUGCCUGCUGAGUGGCUACUCCCCCCAGGAGGCGAUGGUGAGCUGGGGGUGAGCUGGGAGGUGGACAGGGCGGAGGUGAAGGAGGGGGUCCUGACCACCACAGAAGAAGAGAAGGGUGGUCGCUACAGCCGUAGCAGCACCCUGACCCUGAGCAAGGCACGCUGGGAAGAGGGAGAGAUGUACACCUGCAGGGUCGACCAUGACGACACCAGUUAUUCGGCUGCCUUCCGGAGAAGUCAUUGUAGUGUCUGGAGACUGGAGAGGCAAUUGUAGGGGGCAAGAGAGUCCCCACAUGGUGCUAGUUCUGGAAACAAUGUUUUAGAGUUGAAUGUUAUAGUAUAAUAGUGAAUAAUAUCAGUAGUGCUAUGUGAUAAAUGAACUAUUUUGAGAUUAAGUUGUUCAUGUCAUCUAGUUCAAAUAAAGCUUUUUUUAUUUAGAAAAUACCCCAAAUAAUUACUAUAAGCAUGAUUCCAGUGAUCACUAUAUCAUGAAUAUGCAGCACAUUUCAUAGUAAUUUGCAUCAAUCAGCUUCUUUUAUAAUUUCAGCAUUGAAGCAAAUAUCUACUCAUGUUUUAAACAGAAUGAAAACGGCAUCCUAUCCAACAAAGACUACAAUCAUUUCUACUACUGAAUGAUCCUGUUAUACUGUAGCUCCAAUACCAGUGAUGAUAAUUAGUGACAUUUGAUAAUAAACCUUUGAGAUCUGCUGUCAGAACUCACACUGCUAAACAGUUACUGUCAUAACAUAUAUACUCAGCAAAAAAAGAAAUGUCCCUUUUUUAGGACCCUGUCUUUCAAAGAUGAUUCGUAAAAAUCCAAGUAACUUCACAGAUCUUCAUUGCUAUGGGUUUAAACACUGUUUCCCAUGCUUGUUCAAUGAACCAUGAACAACUAAUGAACAUGCACCUGUGGAACGGUCAUUAAGCAUGUCCUGUCUAUGCAAACAGACUGUCCUGAUCCCCCAGGGAAACUGUAGUUGAAGAGAUCUGUGUGAUUAGCAGCAAUUAAUUAAGGUUUAGGUUCAUCAUGGUCAUGGUCUUCAUUGGUCAACAAGCCUCAUCUGGGCUCAAUGAAAGGCUGGGAAGGUGCUGAAGGGUUGGCAGGAGAGACAUUUUAACUUGAUGGAACCACAGGACAUUUUUGGGAGUUAUAAUCAUGUUUAUCUCAAUAAAUAUGUUUGAAUCUUA